UGCGUAGGCGGAACCUUAAGUCAGUGGUAAAAGGCAUUAGCUUAACUAAUGUAAGCCAUUGAAACUGGGAUUCUUGAGUUCGGUGGAGGUAGGCGGAAUGUGUUGUGUAGCGGUGAAAUGCAUAGAUAUAACACAGAACACCGAUUGCGAAGGCAGCUUACUAUGCCGUUACUGACGCUGAUGCACGAAAGCGUGGGUAUCAAACAGGAUUAGAUACCCUGGUAGUCC
Molecule: ribosomal RNA, 228 nt
Filed under: uncultured bacterium
Lineage: Bacteria
Description: partial 16S ribosomal RNA
Rfam family: Bacterial small subunit ribosomal RNA
Source: RNAcentral